UCUCAGACGUGCGGUGGGCCUUUGCCUCUCCCUUCUCCGAAGUUCUUUUGUUAGAGCUCAGUGGCUUCUGUGGCGUGUUCGCUUGCUCCGUGCAAUCCGACGCCAUCGCGUUUUGGGCGAGUGCUGCAAUGGAUAGUAGAGAGGCGGGAAUCGACCCGACGCCGAGCUGGCUUUGGCGAUGGUGGCGCGCGCUCUGGAGGACCGAUUGGUGAACGACACCAGGAGACGGCUCACUGAUGCGGAGGUGACGCAGGACCUUUUGGUGUGACUUGGCUCUAUGCAUGUGAUGCCACAGGAGCUUGACCGAGGAUGUCCCGGAAUCUUAAUUUAGCGAAUCUCUUUCUGAAAACGUUUUGCCUCGAUGAGGGAAUUAGUUCAUGAAAGAAGGGCUUGUGUUAAGGGUGAUGUCUGGAAGAGGUGUGUGGCGUUGGAGGGUGAUGUGAAAUACACAGGAAAGGAAAGAAAAGGAUGUUUUGCUUAAGAGUGUGCCAUUUGCAAAUUUAUUCAAUAAUUUGAAGAUUUAUAUAAGGUCCCGUUCUCCUCCUGCUCUAAGAAAGUGCUCUUCAUACAAGCCUGAUGGCCUGAACUAAUUCCUGGAGCCCACGUGGUGGAAGAGAGCUGACUCCCGAAAGUUAUCUUCAGAUCACAUAUACACAAUAAGAAAAUUAAAGUAAAUUUUACAAAUCAAAAUAGUAAUUAAAACAUUAGAAUGCUAUUUUACUGAAAUGUAAGCGUGAUGCAAGUGAUUAUGGAACAUCUGGAUGCUUUGUAUAGUUUUGUACAAAAUUUUACUCUUUUCCGAAAUGAGAAAGGGAUUAAAAUUGUCAAAGGAAUUGAACUCGUUAUUUGUAAUGGCAUUUUGCAGUGCCCUCAGAGCAGAUAGGGUGGUGAGCUGCCUGGUGUGGGUGCUGGAAGCUCAACUCUGAAGAGCGAGUACUGAGUCCUCUCCUGCCCAACUUCUUGUGGCUAUGAAUGUGAAAUCUUUUGCAUUCUAGAGAAAAAGCAAGAGUAAGAUGUGCCAUGUUGGAAUAUUAUGGCUGCCAAUCAAAAUAAAUUGUUGCUUCCCGAUAGAGGGCCAGCCCACUUUCGUUUUAAACAUUUCAGAAGCUGUGCCAAGUGAGGGUAGCUGCCCAAUAAAAGCGUUUGUUCUUGCAGACCCGAUUGUGCCGUUGUCUGACCUGUGCUUCAUUUGUUGUAGUAUACAAUAAACAUUGUUUUCAACUGUUCUGACUUUGUUGUCUGACCUGUGCUUCAUUUGUAGUAUACAAUAAACAUUGUUUUCAACUGUU
Long non-coding RNA from Arvicola amphibius (Eurasian water vole), 1289 nucleotides. RefSeq lists it as uncharacterized. The record is from RefSeq and is a predicted model, not a curated record. The transcript has 5 exons. Lineage: Eukaryota; Metazoa; Chordata; Mammalia; Rodentia; Cricetidae.